GAUGAACGCUGGCGGCGUGCCUAAUACAUGCAAGUCGAGCGAACAGACGAGGAGCUUGCUCCUCUGACGUUAGCGGCGGACGGGUGAGUAACACGUGGAUAACCUACCUAUAAGACUGGGAUAACUUCGGGAAACCGGAGCUAAUACCGGAUAAUAUAUUGAACCGCAUGGUUCAAUAGUGAAAGACGGUUUUGCUGUCACUUAUAGAUGGAUCCGCGCCGCAUUAGCUAGUUGGUAAGGUAACGGCUUACCAAGGCAACGAUGCGUAGCCGACCUGAGAGGGUGAUCGGCCACACUAAAACUGAGACACGGUCCAGACGCCUACGUGAGGCACCAGUAGGGAAUCUUCCGCAAUGGGCGAGAGCCUGACGUGGCAGCGCCGCGUGAGUGAUGAAGGUCUUCGGAUCGUAAAACUCUGUUAUUAGGGAAGAACAAAUGUGUAAGUAACUAUGCACGUCUUGACGGUACCUAAUCAGAAAGCCACGGCUAACUACGUG
RNAcentral lists this ribosomal RNA (497 nucleotides) under uncultured bacterium. RNAcentral's name for it is "partial 16S ribosomal RNA". It matches the Rfam family "Bacterial small subunit ribosomal RNA", at positions 28 to 507 of the family's 1533-position model. The record is from RNAcentral.